Molecule: ribosomal RNA, 427 nt
Filed under: uncultured bacterium
Lineage: Bacteria
Description: partial 16S ribosomal RNA
Rfam family: Bacterial small subunit ribosomal RNA
Source: RNAcentral
GUAGGGAAUAUUGGACAAUGGGGGCAACCCUGAUCCAGCGACGCCGCGUGAGUGAUGAAGGCCUUCGGGUCGUAAAGCUCUGUUGCAGGGGAAGAACACAAUGAAGGUACCCUGUAAGAAAGGAUCGGCUAACUUCGUGCCAGCAGCCGCGGUAAGACGAGGGAUCCUAGCGUUGUUCGGAAUCAUUGGGCGUAAAGCGGAUGUAGGUGGCUAUGUAAGUCAGAUGUGAAAGCCUGGGGCUCAACCCCAGAAGUGCAUUUGAUAGUGCGUAGCUUGAGUGUCGGAGAGGUUACUAGAAUUGUUGGUGUAGUGGUGAAAUACGUAGAUAUCAACAGGAAUACAGGAGGCGAAGGCGGGUAACUGGCCGAACACUGACACUGAGAUCCGAAAGCGUGGGGAUCAAACAGGAUUAGAAACCCCGGUAUCC